UACACAACAUACCAUAUACAGGGUAUAGCUUUGGGAAACUGAAGGUAAUCCCCCAUAACAUUGCGAGAGGGCAUCUGAUUGCAAUUAAAGUUUCGGCGGUAUAUGAUUGGUGUGCGUUUGAUUAGCUAGUUGGUAGGGUAACGGCCUACCAAGGCGACGAUCAAUAGCUGGGCGUGAGAGCGCGACAGCCACACUGGAACUGAGACACGGUCCAGACUCCUACGGGAGGCAGCAGUAGGGAAUAUUGGACAAUGGAGGAAACUCUGAUCCAGCCAUGCCGCGUGAUAGAUGAAGGCCCUCUGGGUUGUAAAUAUCUUUUAUCUGGGAAGAAACAAUCUUAUCUCUUAAGAUCUUGAGGUACCAACAGGACAUAAGCGCCGGCUAAACUCCGCUGGAGCAGCCGGGAAUACGGACGGGGUGAGANUAAUCAGGAAUUCACAGGUAUAAACNGGUNCAACAGACGGUAAUCAAAGCUGUAUCCGAGACCAAACACNCGGGGAAACAUGGACCAUCAACACCCCGCACAGAACUUCGACAUCGCGCAAAACGAGCCCAAANCCAGACUANGGACGAUUAAGGCAUCGGCGGAGACAGAAAGGC
This 600-nucleotide ribosomal RNA is filed under the name uncultured bacterium. RNAcentral describes it as "bacterial SSU rRNA". The stretch from base 1 to 422 matches the Rfam family "Bacterial small subunit ribosomal RNA", at positions 118 to 538 of the family's 1533-position model. The record is from RNAcentral.